Long non-coding RNA from Perognathus longimembris pacificus (Pacific pocket mouse), 517 nucleotides. RefSeq lists it as uncharacterized. The transcript has 3 exons. NCBI's taxonomy places the organism in Eukaryota, Metazoa, Chordata, Mammalia, Rodentia, Heteromyidae. The record is from RefSeq and is a predicted model, not a curated record.
AUUGGUAGAUAAUAGUCCCAUGGACUUUCCUGCCCCGGUUGGCUUUGAACUGCAAUCCUCAGAUCUCAGACUCAUGGAUAGCUAAAAUUACAGGUGUGAGCUACCGGCACCCAGACAAACACAUUUUUCAGAGACCCAAAAGAUUUGAAAAUACACUAUUAACCAUAGCUUCCUACAGUACUGAAAAAGUACAUGCCUUAAAAUUUUUUUUUCCAUUUGCUUCUUAUUUUUCAAUGAGUAUUGAAAAAUACCUUUAAAGACUGCUACUCCUAUUUACACAUAUUACAACAUUUAAUUUCUAAAUUAGGUCACAGAAAAAAAUUAAUAGUGUUUGCUAAUAAAGCAGUAAGUUCAGCAAUAUCCUGUGGUAAAAGUUACUUAAAAUUUAUGAGUUAUGCUGCCGGGUGCUAGUGGCUCACACUUGUAAUCCUAACAACUAAGGAGGCUGAGAUUUGAGGAUCACGGUUCGAAGUCAGCCCAGGCAGGAAAAAGUCUUUGAGAUUCUUAUCUCCAAUAA